Molecule: long non-coding RNA, 319 nt
Organism: Pogonomyrmex barbatus (red harvester ant)
Lineage: Eukaryota; Metazoa; Arthropoda; Insecta; Hymenoptera; Formicidae
Source: RefSeq, a predicted model, not a curated record
UAUUUUUUCUUGUUAAUUUGCGCAUCAUCAAUGUCUAUCCAUUCAUUAAACAUUUAAUUAAUGGUUCCUAAAGUGCAAAUAUAUUUAUCAAUCUUUUCUUUCAAUAAAUUAACAGAAACAAAAUCUUCGUGUACAGGAGGUAAUUGAAAAAGAUCUUCAAAUAAAAGAAUUUGUUUUUGACCAAACCAGCCAUCAUUACAUUCAGUAGUGUCAUAUAUUUUGGAUAAUCGAAGAUAAGUAUGAGGAAUAUAAGCAUUCAACAGAUAAUUGGAACAAUCUGUGAAUUGUCAAACCAUUUAUAUUAAAUGCUGCAAUACCU